RNAcentral lists this ribosomal RNA (274 nucleotides) under uncultured bacterium. Its description in RNAcentral is "partial 16S ribosomal RNA". It matches the Rfam family "Bacterial small subunit ribosomal RNA", at positions 523 to 796 of the family's 1533-position model. The record is from RNAcentral.
AUACGGAGGGGGCUAGCGUUGUCCGGAAUUACUGGGCGUAAAGCGUACGUAGGCGGACUGAUCAGUUGGGGGUGAAAUCCCAGGGCUUAACCCUGGAACUGCCUUCAAUACUGUCAGUCUUGAGUUUGGGAGAGGUGAGUGGAAUUCCUAGUGUAGAGGUGAAAUUCAUAGAUAUUAGGAGGAACACCAGUGGCGAAGGCGGCUCACUGGCCCAUUACUGACGCUGAGGUACGAAAGCGUGGGGAGCAAACAGGAUUAGAAACCCUUGUAGUCC